This is a non-coding RNA of Triticum urartu, 115 nucleotides long. The record is from Rfam. NCBI's taxonomy places the organism in Eukaryota, Viridiplantae, Streptophyta, Magnoliopsida, Poales, Poaceae.
GUCGUACUCCCUCCGUUCCGAUUUAUUUGUCGUGGGUAUGAAUGUAUCUAGAUGUAUUUUAGUUCUAGAUACAUUCAUUUUUGUGACGAGUAAUUUAGAACGAAGGGAGUAGAAC